Triticum aestivum (bread wheat) is the source of this 67-nucleotide non-coding RNA. The record is from Rfam. Lineage: Eukaryota; Viridiplantae; Streptophyta; Magnoliopsida; Poales; Poaceae.
CCAUUGCUCAGUUGGUAGAGCACAAGGCUCUUAACCUUGUGGACGUGGGUUCAAGCCCUAUGGUGGG